This 314-nucleotide unclassified non-coding RNA is filed under the name uncultured Aspergillus. RNAcentral's name for it is "partial contains 5.8S ribosomal RNA, internal transcribed spacer 2, and large subunit ribosomal RNA". The stretch from base 1 to 102 matches the Rfam family "5.8S ribosomal RNA", at positions 53 to 154 of the family's 154-position model. The record is from RNAcentral. Lineage: Eukaryota; Fungi; Ascomycota; Eurotiomycetes; Eurotiales; Aspergillaceae.
AUGCGAUAAUUAAUGUGAAUUGCAGAAUUCAGUGAAUCAUCGAGUCUUUGAACGCACAUUGCACCCCCUGGUAUUCCGGGGGGUAUGCCUGUCCGAGCGUCAUUGCUGCCCUCAAGCACGGCUUGUGUGUUGGGUCGUCGUCCCCCCGGGGACGGGCCCGAAAGGCAGCGGCGGCACCGCGUCCGGUCCUCGAGCGUAUGGGGCUUUGUCACACCGCUCUUGUAGGCCCGGCCGGCUGCUGGCCGACGCUGAAAAGCAACCAACUAUUUCUCCAGGUUGACCUCGGAUCAGGUAGGGAUACCCGCUGAACUUAA